GCGCUUGUGGCGGAAUUGGUAGACGCGCCAGACUUAGGAUCUGGUAUCUUCCGAUGUGCAGGUUCGAGUCCUGUCAGGCGCACCA
This 85-nucleotide transfer RNA is filed under the name Bacteroidaceae bacterium. RNAcentral describes it as "tRNA-Leu". It matches the Rfam family "tRNA". Rfam says of the family: Transfer RNA (tRNA) molecules are approximately 80 nucleotides in length. Their secondary structure includes four short double-helical elements and three loops (D, anti-codon, and T loops). The record is from RNAcentral. Lineage: Bacteria; Pseudomonadati; Bacteroidota; Bacteroidia; Bacteroidales; Bacteroidaceae.